GGCAGACGGGUGAGUAAUGUAUAGGAAUCUACCUAGUAGUACGGAAUAAUUGUUGGAAACGGCAACUAAUACCGUAUACGCCCUACGGGGGAAAAAUUUAUUGCUAUUAGAUGAGCCUAUAUUAGAUUAGCUAGUUGGUGGAGUAAUAGCCUACCAAGGCAAUGAUCUAUAGCUGAUCUGAGAGGAUGAUCAGCCACACUGGAACUGAGAUACGGUCCAGACUUCUACGGGAGGCAGCAGUGGGGAAUAUUGGACAAUGGGCGAAAGCCUGAUCCAGCCAUGUCGCAUGAGUGAAGAAGGCCUUUGGGUUGUAAAGCUCUUUUAGUGAGGAAGAUAAUGACGGUACUCACAGAAGAAGUCCUGGCUAACUCCGUGCCAGCAGCCGCGGUAAUACGGAGAGGGCUAGCGUUAUUCGGAAUUAUUGGGCGUAAAGGGCGCGUAGGCUGAUUAAUAAGUUAAAAGUGAAAUCCCGAGGCUUAACCUUGGAAUUGCUUUUAAAACUAUUAAUCUAGAGAUUGAAAGAGGAUAGAGGAAUUCCUGAUGUAGAGGUAAAAUUCGUAAAUAUUAGGAGGAACACCAGUGGCGAAGGCGUCUAUCUGGUUCAAAUCUGACGCUGAGGCGCGAAGGCGUGGGGAGCAAACAGGAUUAGAUACCCUGGUAGUCCACGCUGUAAACGAUGAAUGUUAAAUAUGGGAAGUUUACUUUCUGUAUUACAGCUAACGCGUUAAACAUUCCGCCUGGGGACUACGGUCGCAAGAUUAAAACUCAAAGGAAUUGACGGGGACCCGCACAAGCGGUGGAGGCA
This 805-nucleotide ribosomal RNA is filed under the name Wolbachia endosymbiont of Naupactus cervinus. RNAcentral's name for it is "bacterial SSU rRNA". It matches the Rfam family "Bacterial small subunit ribosomal RNA", at positions 97 to 940 of the family's 1533-position model. Lineage: Bacteria; Pseudomonadati; Pseudomonadota; Alphaproteobacteria; Rickettsiales; Anaplasmataceae. The record is from RNAcentral.